RNAcentral lists this microRNA precursor (87 nucleotides) under Solanum lycopersicum (tomato). Its description in RNAcentral is "miR10532 stem-loop (sly-MIR10532)". The record is from miRBase by way of RNAcentral. Lineage: Eukaryota; Viridiplantae; Streptophyta; Magnoliopsida; Solanales; Solanaceae.
UAUGUUUGAAAUCUCAGAGACACACUUAUACUAUUCUAAUAGGACCUUUGUAUAGUAUAAGUGUGUCUCUGAGAUUUCGGGCAUAGG